RNAcentral lists this transfer RNA (73 nucleotides) under Rhipicephalus sanguineus (brown dog tick). RNAcentral's name for it is "transfer RNA valine (anticodon AAC)". It matches the Rfam family "tRNA". Rfam says of the family: Transfer RNA (tRNA) molecules are approximately 80 nucleotides in length. Their secondary structure includes four short double-helical elements and three loops (D, anti-codon, and T loops). The record is from Rfam by way of RNAcentral. Lineage: Eukaryota; Metazoa; Arthropoda; Arachnida; Ixodida; Ixodidae.
AUGCUUGUGGUGUAGUGGUUAUCACAUCCGCCUAACACGCGGAAGGUCCCAGGUUCGAUCCCUGGCAGGCACA